Paramuricea clavata is the source of this 859-nucleotide non-coding RNA. The record is from the annotation of a GenBank genome assembly. Lineage: Eukaryota; Metazoa; Cnidaria; Anthozoa; Malacalcyonacea; Plexauridae.
GCACGAUAUAGCCUUUCAUUACAAAAAUGAUUUUCAAAGGGCCUUGCAUGCAUUAAGGUAGACAACAAAUUUAAAAAGAUAAAAAAAGAAGAUGCCACCGUUUCCCUUCCGAGGUCUGAUCAUUAAUAUUAAAGGAGGCAUUGAAACCCCCUCCAAGGAAGAAACCAGCAGAAUCUAUCCCGAACUACUUAUACAGAUAAUUUACUAUUAUUGUAUUAAUAUAGAGGUUCAAAGAUCUACAAGAACUGGCAAAAAUUAUGUCAUGCACUGUCACGGCUGCUAUUUCCAAUGAAGUUGACUUUGGGCUGUAGUUUUAAUGUAACGGUUCGACAUGGACACAAAACGUUUUUGGAAUGGCAAAUUUUUGAAAGCCAUUUCAUAUUUUAAAGUUCCUUGGCAACAUCUUGACGCAUGCAUGUAUAUUAAUUUGCCAACGUAUAGUUUAAACGCCUUGACAACACGCCUCGCAGGAUAUCAGAAGUGUUCCUAUCAGUAAAAUUCUAAACCAAACUUCCGAACAUAAAUCAUAAUUAAUAGGUUGGGACUUUUGGCAUCUAAUGACUAAUGCUACUCCUUUGGCAACUCUUGGGAAGCAAAGAGCAAAGAGCCUGGGAACGAGGUUGCUCUUUUGGCUAAUGGUAAAACACGAUCUCAAUUGUCUUUAUGACCUCCAGCUGUUUAAAUUGCGUUGUACGCCUUUCUGUUAAAGGCUGCUUUCCAGUGAAGCGUUUUUCAUACAUAUGUACACGUUGAAGAGUUCUUAUGUCUUAAAAAUUAAAUGAAUGAAAGAACAACAUUUAGUUUUGUAUAUGAUUUCAAGGGGUCAAAAAUUUUUUCCGGACAUACCAACAUUUUCCGU